GAUGAACGCUGGCGGCGUGCCUAAUACAUGCAAGUCGAGCGAACAGACGAGGAGCUUGCUCCUCUGACGUUAGCGGCGGACGGGUGAGUAACACGUGGAUAACCUACCUAUAAGACUGGGAUAACUUCGGGAAACCGGAGCUAAUACCGGAUAAUAUAUUGAACCGCAUGGUUCAAUAGUGAAAGACGGUUUUGCUGUCACUUAUAGAUGGAUCCGCGCCGCAUUAGCUAGUUGGUAAGGUAACGGCUUACCAAGGCAACGAUGCGUAGCCGACCUGAGAGGAGGGUGGCCCACACGAAAGCUAAACCAGGCCCAAGACUCCAAGGGGAGGCAGAAGUGGGGACUUUUCCACAGGGGGGGAAGCCCUGAGGAAGCAGCCCGGGGUGAAUGAUAAGGUUCUCGGGAUCGAAAAACUCUUUUAUGGGGAAAAAACAAGUUUGAAAAUAAAUCUGCCCGUCUGGAGGGGACCUAAUAAGAAACCCCCGGCUAACUACGUG
RNAcentral lists this ribosomal RNA (497 nucleotides) under uncultured bacterium. Its description in RNAcentral is "partial 16S ribosomal RNA". It matches the Rfam family "Bacterial small subunit ribosomal RNA", at positions 28 to 507 of the family's 1533-position model. The record is from RNAcentral.